RNAcentral lists this ribosomal RNA (388 nucleotides) under uncultured bacterium. RNAcentral's name for it is "partial 16S ribosomal RNA". It matches the Rfam family "Bacterial small subunit ribosomal RNA", at positions 355 to 736 of the family's 1533-position model. The record is from RNAcentral.
UAGGGAAUCUUCCACAAUGGACGAAAGUCUGAUGGAGCAACGCCGCGUGAGUGAAGAAGGUUUUCGGAUCGUAAAGCUCUGUUGUUGGUGAAGAAGGAUAGAGGCAGUAACUGGUCUUUAUUUGACGGUAAUCAACCAGAAAGUCACGGCUAACUACGUGCCAGCAGCCGCGGUAAUACGUAGGUGGCAAGCGUUGUCCGGAUUUAUUGGGCGUAAAGCGAGCGCAGGCGGAAUGAUAAGUCUGAUGCGAAAGCCCACGGCUCAACCGUGGAACUGCAUCGGAAACUGUCAUUCUUGAGUGCAGAAGAGGAGAGUGGAACUCCAUGUGUAGCGGUGGAAUGCGUAGAUAUAUGGAAGAACACCAGUGCGAAGGCGGCUCUCUGGUCUG